RNAcentral lists this ribosomal RNA (403 nucleotides) under uncultured bacterium. RNAcentral describes it as "bacterial SSU rRNA". It matches the Rfam family "Bacterial small subunit ribosomal RNA", at positions 356 to 773 of the family's 1533-position model. The record is from RNAcentral.
GGGGAAUAUUGGGCAAUGGGCGAAAGCCUGACCCAGCAACGCCGCGUGAAGGAAUAAGGCCUUCGGGUUGUAAACUUCUUUUAUUAGGGACGAAGGAUGUGACGGUACCUAAUGAAUAAGCCACGGCUAACUACGUGCCAGCAGCCGCGGUAAUACGUAGGUGGCAAGCGUUGUCCGGAUUUACUGGGUGUAAAGGGCGCGUAGGCGGGAAUGCAAGUCAGAUGUGAAAUCCAUGGGCUCAACCCAUGAACUGCAUUUGAAACUGUGUUUCUUGAGUGAUGGAGAGGCAGGCGGAAUUCCUAGUGUAGCGGUGAAAUGCGUAGAUAUUAGGAGGAACACCAGUGGCGAAGGCGGCCUGCUGGACAUCAACUGACGCUGAUGCGCGAAAGCGCGGGGAGCAAAC